UUUUAUUUUUCUACCCUUUAUUUCUCUUUCAAACAAAGUGUACCCCACUGUACAGGUGGAAGUAUUGAGUCUUGGUGAAUCAAAAGGAUUUUCUUCAGGAUAAUUCAACCAGACAGGCUUCAUUACAAAUGCUGUGCUUGGCUUCUCAAGAAACUGUUCCAUUCGGUGAAAAUGAGAGCUGUUAUACAAUGAGUUUGGAGGCUAAUUUUAAAGCAGGCAUCAGAGAGACAGCCAGGGACAAGAUAUAUACUGUUACCCACUGCAUGGAACCAUGGAACUUCCUAUUUAACUAGUGGGACUUCGCUGGCUGCCAGCAGGAUGGGCCAUUGCUGUCGUGAAAAGCAUCCAUUGACCCACUGUCCUCGGCUGAUGUUGGUACUACUGUACACAGUUGGAUUUCACUUAUAUUUGGAUCCUUAAUUGUCACUGUAAAAAAUUUUCAGAGAUCACCCUGUCAUGACAAGUUAACAGGACAAGUUGUUAACGUAGGUGCCUGCCCAUCACUCACGGGUAGGUCAGUUGAAGGCAGCAGCAAUUGCCAAGUCCCCGAGUGCUCACACAAUUGUCCGAGCCAAGUGCAGGACCUGCACACGCAUGGUGAGGGGCUGCAGCGCAGGUGGAGAACAGACUGCUCCAUAACAGCUUCCAGUUGACUUCCUAGAGAAUGUGUGAAACUUCCAAUGAUCUUACUCAGCUCGAAAAUAUCAACUACCAAUUUAAACAUAUAGAUAAAAAUUCUAAUGUCCUUCCUUAUGCCUCAAAAUAAUCUGUUACAGUGUCUAAGAUUAU
Long non-coding RNA from Phyllostomus discolor (pale spear-nosed bat), 789 nucleotides. RefSeq lists it as uncharacterized. Lineage: Eukaryota; Metazoa; Chordata; Mammalia; Chiroptera; Phyllostomidae. The transcript is spliced from 3 exons. The record is from RefSeq and is a predicted model, not a curated record.